Pelobates cultripes (western spadefoot toad) is the source of this 276-nucleotide non-coding RNA. Lineage: Eukaryota; Metazoa; Chordata; Amphibia; Anura; Pelobatidae. The record is from the annotation of a GenBank genome assembly.
CUACUUCUUGGCUCCAUAUUACCACUGCAGAUUAAUUAUAUUGCCAGCUGCAAAGGUAAUAAGGAGUCUGUCAGUAUCAUGCUGCUUUAACCCUGAGUACACUGUUUGCUGACAGCUAAUAGUGAGCCUGGAGUAGCUGAAGUGGUUGGAGUCUAAGGUUUUCACUGCUUUAACCAUGUGCACACUGUGUGCUGAGAACUAACAAUGAGUCAGAAGUAGAUGAAAUGGAUUGCAUCGAUCAGUAUCUUGUUGCUUUAACCAUGUGCACACUGUUCU